ACGGAAGGCAGCAGUGGGGAAUAUUGCACAAUGGGGGAAACCCUGAUGCAGCGGCGCCGCGUGAGUGAAGAAGUAUUUCGGUAUGUAAAGCUCUAUCAGCAGGGAAGAAAAUGACGGUACCUGACUAAGAAGCCCCGGCUAACUACGUGCCAGCAGCCGCGGUAAUACGUAGGGGGCAAGCGUUAUCCGGAUUUACUGGGUGUAAAGGGUGCGUAGGCGGCACGGCAAGUCAGAAGUGAAAUCCCAGGGCGCAACCCUGGAACUGCUUUUGAAACUGUCGAGCUAGAGUACAGGAGAGGUAAGCGGAAUUCCGAGUGUAGCGGUGAAAUGCGUAGAUAUUAGGAGGAACACCAGUGGCGAAGGCGGCUUACUGGACUGACACUGACGCUGAGGCACGAAAGCGUGGGGAGCAAACAGGAUUAGAUACCCUGGUA
Molecule: ribosomal RNA, 434 nt
Filed under: uncultured Lachnospiraceae bacterium
Lineage: Bacteria; Bacillati; Bacillota; Clostridia; Lachnospirales; Lachnospiraceae
Description: bacterial SSU rRNA
Rfam family: Bacterial small subunit ribosomal RNA
Source: RNAcentral